Molecule: long non-coding RNA, 166 nt
Organism: Carassius auratus (goldfish)
Lineage: Eukaryota; Metazoa; Chordata; Actinopteri; Cypriniformes; Cyprinidae
Exons: 3
Source: RefSeq, a predicted model, not a curated record
CGCAACACUGCAAAUGUCACGAGGAAACACCCCGUUUCUCGCUGAUUUCACUGUUUUCAGGAAUGGUUUAAUGUCUUCGAAAAAGUCAGUUAGCAUUUCUACCGUUUUCAGACGACGUAUCUUCAGAAGGGAGUUUUCAAGAUUUCAAUAUUUCUGAAGGGAGCUG